This 416-nucleotide ribosomal RNA is filed under the name uncultured bacterium. RNAcentral describes it as "bacterial SSU rRNA". It matches the Rfam family "Bacterial small subunit ribosomal RNA", at positions 8 to 422 of the family's 1533-position model. The record is from RNAcentral.
AGAGUUUGAUCCUGGCUCAGAUUGAACGCUGGCGGCAUGCUUUACACAUGCAAGUCGAACGGUAACGCGGGGGCAACCCUGGCGACGAGUGGCGAACGGGUGAGUAAUACAUCGGAACAUGUCCUGGAGUGGGGGAUAGCUCGGCGAAAGCCGGAUUAAUACCGCAUACGCUCUGAGGAGGAAAGCGGGGGACCUGGUAACGGGCCUCGCGCUGCGGGAGUGGCCGAUGUCGGAUUAGCUAGUUGGUGAGGUAAAGGCUCACCAAGGCGACGAUCCGUAGCUGGUCUGAGAGGAUGAUCAGCCACACUGGGACUGAGACACGGCCCAGACUCCUACGGGAGGCAGCAGUGGGGAAUUUUGGACAAUGGGGGCAACCCUGAACCAGCCAUGCCGCGUGAGUGAAGAAGGCCUUCGGG